GUGGUGGAGGGGACUUGUAUUCAUAUGGUGGUGGAUGAGAGUGCACCGGUGGUGGUGGAGACUUGUACUCAUAUGGAGGAGGGGGAGAAUGCACCGGUGGAGGCGGGGAUUUGUAAUAGUAAGGUGGCAAUGGAGAAUGCACCGGUGGUGGCGGGGACUUAUACACAUAUGGAGGAGGGGGCGAGUGCACCGGUGGAGGCGGGGAUUUGUAAUAGUAAGGUGGUGGUGGAGAGUGCACCGGUGGAGGAGGAGACUUAUAAUAGUAUGGGGCAGGGAGAGGAUGGGAUGGUGGUGGUGGUGGGGACU
Juglans regia (Persian walnut) is the source of this 306-nucleotide long non-coding RNA. RefSeq lists it as uncharacterized. The record is from RefSeq and is a predicted model, not a curated record. The transcript is spliced from 2 exons. Lineage: Eukaryota; Viridiplantae; Streptophyta; Magnoliopsida; Fagales; Juglandaceae.